This 468-nucleotide ribosomal RNA is filed under the name uncultured bacterium. RNAcentral describes it as "partial 16S ribosomal RNA". It matches the Rfam family "Bacterial small subunit ribosomal RNA", at positions 28 to 507 of the family's 1533-position model. The record is from RNAcentral.
GACGAACGCUGGCGGCGUGCUUAACACAUGCAAGUCGAACGGAAAGACCCUGCUUUUGUGGGGUGCUCGAGUGGCGAACGGGUGAGUAACACGUGAGUAACCUGCCCUUGACUUUGGGAUAACUUCAGGAAACUGGGGCUAAUACCGGAUAGGAGCUCCUGCUGCAUGGUGGGGGUUGGAAAGUUUCGGCGGUUGGGGCUGGACUCGCGGCUUAUCAGCUUGUUGGUGGGGUAGUGGCUUACCAAGGCUUUGACGGGUAGCCGGCCUGAGAGGGUGACCGGCCACAUUGGGACUGUGAUACGGCCGAGACUCCGGCGGGGGGCAGCAGUGGGGAAUAUUGGACAAUGGGCGGGAGCCUGAUGAAGCAACGCCGCGUGCGGGAUGACGGCCUUCGGGUUGUAAACCGCUUUCGCCUGUGACGAAGCGUGAGUGACGGUAAUGGGUAAAGAAGCACCGGCUAACUACGUG